AUAAAUUAACAGUGCAGGAUCGUUAACUAAAAAUUGGAGAUCGUUACCAAGCAUAACUCAAGUAUUUCAAACUGAAACUAAAUGACAGACUUCUCAGUGAAUAAGUUAUAUAUGCCGUUUCAGGAAAUCCAACAUUCAUCUUCUCCCAUACUUAAAGGACAUCUACUUUUCUACGUGCCUCACUUUCUCAUGAUAAGUGUGGAUAUAUAAGCAAUAUAUACAACUGCUCGAUUGUCACAACAUAAGAGUUGGAAUUGGAAAAAUGAUAACAUUAUGCAAAAGAUAUAAUAGGCAAGGUAAUUCAAUGGGAUUUCUUGAUAAAAAGUAAAAUUUCAAAGAAAACAUGGUUACAUGUACUGCAUCUUCAAUGUGAGUCCAGUGUCCACACAUGUGGCCUAGUAAGCUUCUACAUAGGCCUGAUAGUGUAAGGAUGAAGUUACCCUAGCCAAUUGUGCAUUUCAAAUAUCUGAGCAGAUAAUAGACUGUAUCAAGAUGAAGAUUAAUAGUCAAAUAGUCAACUCAAGAUUGAGUAUUGAGUACAUUGGUCAACUCAAGAUUAUUGAGUACAUUGUUCAACUUUUUGAAACUAAAUUAAGAGGAACAAAUGUCAGAAAAUGGGAAUUCAAUACAACUUAGAGUGUGGUGAGCACGACACAAAUGAUGACCAUGAACAUCAUCAGUUUUCCUCAAAGACCACCUGCCAUCCUUAAUGAUGAAGUACUCGACAAAUAAAAUAAUGGAAUAGAAGUUUACAGCUAUGACUUUAUAGAAAUCAAUUUUAACUUGAACAAAGGAAGGGAAAACAAAUCAUGAAAAAUCAAUUCGCCAAGAACAUGUGUAGAAAUAACAAGUCUUAAAAUAAGAACUAUAGCUUUAGUUGUAAAGUAACAAACAAAUUGGUCUAAUAUUUAAAAAAUUUGGUAAAAUGAUGCAUUCAAAAAUAUAUAGGUUCCGUUGCCAAAGCAAUUAGGAUCAAAAAAGGAAAGUCUGCAGAUUAAGCAAAAACUGCAGCGCUACAGAAGAAGGAUCUUGCUCUUUCAAGAAGAAAAGAAAAAAAAAAAGAAGGAUCUUGGGUCUCCAAGCUGAACUUGGAUGCAAAAGAUAGUUGGGUGAAGAGCACUGAUAUGUGUUGCUGAUACUUAGCUGAAGUAAUAUGGAGGAACAGAUUCCAAAUUCUAAGUCACAGGGACAUCGGAAAUUUUUGCAAGCACUUGUUUGACUGAACGUUCUUUGAAUUUGGGUUUGAACCCGAGGUGGUUGCUAUGAGUUUUGAUAUAAUCAUUCUUCACUAACUUUGAUUAGAAGAUAGCAAAAGUCAGUUAAUUCUUAGCAGAUGAGGAAAGAGCACACUCAACCUCUUUGUUACUCCUUUUGAAUUGGCCUAGAACCCAUCAACGGUAAUUGAUCACUAACAUGGUAAAUAGAAUCAUUCAAGCCUAUUGACUUUGUUUGGUAAAUUAUUGCGGAUAGAUGAUAAGCUAUAAGCUAGCUUAUAGCUAAUAACGGAUAAGCUAGCUGAUUGAAUUUGUAGUGUUUAGUAAAAUUAUCGGUUGAAGUAUCUUAAAAAAUAUGAAAUGACAAAUAAAGGUAUAUUUAAUUAAUAUUUAUUUUUUCGAUUAAGAUUGCAUGGGUAAAAUUGAGAUAAAAGUUAUAAGCCAUAAGCUACUGGAAUUAGCUUAUCAAAACAAGCUAUAAGCUCAUAAAAAUAAGCUAUAAGAUUGUGAGAAACUUGCAGAUAUCAAACACGUGUCUUACCAAAUGGACCCUAAUGAGUAAUGGCUUGAUUCGGCCAGCAAGAACAAGUACUAUGUUCCCCUUCCCCUCAAAUAGACUCUAGUAAUUAUGAGUUAAUCAAGAUAUGUUAACAAAUAGAAAAUUAAAGAGCUAACCUGGAAUCAGGCAUAGAAAUCCAGUUCCAAUAGCG
RNAcentral lists this long non-coding RNA (1924 nucleotides) under Medicago truncatula (barrel medic). RNAcentral describes it as "long non-coding RNA (MTRU_LNC005680)". Lineage: Eukaryota; Viridiplantae; Streptophyta; Magnoliopsida; Fabales; Fabaceae. The record is from RNAcentral.